GGUUAUACUGCAAGAGUUGUAUGAGAGUUUGUGAACCAAUGUUUCGAUAGAAUUUUGCUGUUGUUAAAAGCGAACAUCUAUGACUUCAGUUCAUCGAGAAUUUUCUCCAUUUUUGGAUUCUCUGUUGACAAGAGACUAAAGUUGAUGACCAUCUAGAAGGCGCGGACCUUUCCGACAGCUCCACUAAAUUUGAGGAAGCAAGACGGAACUGGACGACCUUCGUGUUUGCGUUAGUUUUCAAUGGGAUAUCAGGAACGUCCUUUUCUUCAUCUAGACUUGACUAUAUCCUGGAAUAUCACACAGCGUGUGUUUUUAUGCAUACUGAUCUGACAGACAGAAGAACUCUGGCAAGAAAAAAGGAAGAAGGUGUGUGCUUCAUGGUGAAUAAGACUUGGUAGGAAUGUCAAAAUCCAGUUCCUGUUUGCCUGGCACCACAAGGGGAAUACAUACUCUGGAUCACUGCUAAAGCUGCUCAGGGGCAGCUACAUAGCGGAAUUGCUGCCGACGUUUCGGAGGAGCGGUCAUGUGGUCAUCUAGCUGAGGUCAAAAUAUGUAAACAAAGUAUGAAGUAUGCCUCCAGUGACGUGAGAGGUCAGGUUGGCUGGGUCAGGCCACUCAAAGGCCACCCUUUAGUCUGCACUAAACAACUGUUGACGUCACAGAGACAUCGAUGAAUUCAGAGAGUCUGUGGUGGAUUUGAUUUGUAAUUUGUAAGCGACUGUAACGGAAACUGCAGUUAUAUCAUUGUACAACCAGAAACCAUGGAUCGCCAGAACCAUCUGUACAGCCAGUCGUGAAACAUGGACAAUAAUAAAGCAGCAGUCUGCAUUGUAAGAA
Long non-coding RNA from Epinephelus moara (kelp grouper), 837 nucleotides. RefSeq lists it as uncharacterized. The record is from RefSeq and is a predicted model, not a curated record. NCBI's taxonomy places the organism in Eukaryota, Metazoa, Chordata, Actinopteri, Perciformes, Serranidae. The transcript has 3 exons.